UAUUGGACAAUGGGGGAAACCCUGAUCCAGCGACGCCGCGUGAGUGAAGAAGUAUUUCGGUAUGUAAAGCUCUAUCAGCAGGGAAGAAAGAAAUGACGGUACCUGACCAAGAAGCCCCGGCUAACUACGUGCCACCAGCCGCGGUAAUACGUAGGGGGCAAGCGUUAUCCGGAUUUACUGGGUGUAAAGGGAGCGUAGACGGCAAUGCAAGUCAGAUGUGAAAGCCCGGGGCUCAACCGCGGGACUGCAUUUGAAACUGUGAUGCUGGAGUGCAGGAGAGGUAAGUGGAAUUCCUAGUGUAGCGGUGAAAUGCGUAGAUAUUAGGAGGAACACCAGUGGCGAAGGCGGCUUACUGGACUGUAACUGACGUUGAGGCUCGAAAGCGUGGGGAGCAAACAGG
Molecule: ribosomal RNA, 400 nt
Filed under: uncultured bacterium
Lineage: Bacteria
Description: bacterial SSU rRNA
Rfam family: Bacterial small subunit ribosomal RNA
Source: RNAcentral